CAGUCGAGCGGACAGAUGGGAGCUUGCUCCCUGAUGUUAGCGGCGGACGGGUGAGUAACACGUGGGUAACCUGCCUGUAAGACUGGGAUAACUCCGGGAAACCGGGGCUAAUACCGGAUGGUUGUUUGAACCGCAUGGUUCAGACAUAAAAGGUGGCUUCGGCUACCACUUACAGAUGGACCCGCGGCGCAUUAGCUAGUUGGUGAGGUAACGGCUCACCAAGGCGACGAUGCGUAGCCGACCUGAGAGGGUGAUCGGCCACACUGGGACUGAGACACGGCCCAGACUCCUACGGGAGGCAGCAGUAGGGAAUCUUCCGCAAUGGACGAAAGUCUGACGGAGCAACGCCGCGUGAGUGAUGAAGGUUUUCGGAUCGUAAAGCUCUGUUGUUAGGGAAGAACAAGUGCCGUUCAAAUAGGGCGGCACCUUGACGGUACCUAACCAGAAAGCCACGGCUAACUACGUGCCAGCAGCCGCGGUAAUACGUAGGUGGCAAGCGUUGUCCGGAAUUAUUGGGCGUAAAGGGCUCGCAGGCGGUUUCUUAAGUCUGAUGUGAAAGCCCCCGGCUCAACCGGGGAGGGUCAUUGGAAACUGGGGAACUUGAGUGCAGAAGAGGAGAGUGGAAUUCCACGUGUAGCGGUGAAAUGCGUAGAGAUGUGGAGGAACACCAGUGGCGAAGGCGACUCUCUGGUCUGUAACUGACGCUGAGGAGCGAAAGCGUG
RNAcentral lists this ribosomal RNA (722 nucleotides) under Bacillus sp. (in: firmicutes). RNAcentral describes it as "bacterial SSU rRNA". It matches the Rfam family "Bacterial small subunit ribosomal RNA", at positions 59 to 763 of the family's 1533-position model. The record is from RNAcentral. Lineage: Bacteria; Bacillati; Bacillota; Bacilli; Caryophanales; Bacillaceae.